UUUUGGUUUUAAGGGAAAAAAUCAAAUAGGAAGUUAAUUUUCGCUAGAAAGGAUAGGAAGCCAUAGGAUUAUGACAUGUGGCAAAUUUUAAAAUAAAGAGAAAGGGUAUUUUAGUCAAUCCAACUCCUUCUUCUUCCUUUUUCAAAACCCAGUAAAUUCAAAAACCCACCAUUUUCAAAACCCACCAUCUUCAACUAUUUCUUCACUUUCUAUCUCAAUAAUCACUACAUUAUAGUGCGAUUUUCAUCACCAAUCAAUGAUUCAGAACCCGAUCAACGUGUUCUUCAGCUUUUUUUUGAAGAAAACCCAGUUUAAUUUCAUAAAAAAAUCUCGUUUUUUCCGGUGAUUUUGGAGAUAAUCACUCGAUUCGUUCGAUUCGAGCGUUGAUAAGUGUUUCUAUCAUUCAAAUUUUGUCAAUUGAUGAAGAAAUAGGCUUCGAUCCAUGUAAGAAAUUCUUUAAUUUCAUUUUCAUGAUCUGGGUUUUUGAUUUAGUCAUGGCGUUUUACGAUCUUUAGGUGCUUUCAGUCCAUUGCGUUUUAGAAUGAGUCAUUUUUAAGUGUUUUCUGGCCAUUGCGUUUUACAUAUAAGACAUUUCUUUGUGUUUUUGGUGCAUUGCGUUUUAGGUAAAACACUUUUUUAUGUGUUUUCAGUCCAUUACGUUUUAGAAAAUAGACAUUUUAAGUGUAUUCUGGCCAUUGCGUUUUACAAAUAAGUCAUUUCUUUGUGUUUUUGGUGCAUUGCGUUUUAGGUAAAAACACAUUUUUAUGUUUUUCUGACCAUUGCGUUUUACAAAUAAGACAUUUCUGUGUGUUUUCUGGCCAUUGCGUUUUACAAAUAAGUCAUUUCUUUGUGUUUUUGGUGCAUUGCGUUUUAGGUAAAACACAUUUUUAUGUGUUUUCUGACCAUUGCGUUUUACAAAUAAGACAUUUCUGUGUGUUUUCUGGCCAUUGCGUUUUACAAAUAAGUCAUUUCUUUGUGUUUUUGGUGCAUUGCGUUUUAGAAAAAUGUCAUUUAUUAGGUUUUUUUUUUCAUUGCGUUUUGCGUAACUGGUGGUUUUUCUAUUGCGUUUUACGCAACUGGGUUUUAAAUUUUUUUUUUUUAAAUAUAGCAAUAGUAUACUCGUUUUAAAGAUAAAAAACGCUCGUUUUUUUUGUGCAAUUUUUAUAAAAAAAAAUAAUGUCGUAUGAAAGAGUUAUUAACGUUUAAAAAAUGGGGGGGAAUUGGAGGAGAGAGAAACUAUUGGCUUGGAUUGACUAGAAUGCCCUUAAACAAACUCACGCGCCUCUUUUCUUCCUUUCAAUUUCCCUGAUUUAAUCUUAGCCCUUGAUUAACUUAAUGGAUGAUCAAGAUCACUUCCUAUCCUUCCUAGCCAAAUAAACUUUCUAUUGUAUCUCCACCCUUGGUUUUAAAAGAAAGAUGUUGCAAAAUUUUAGUAAAGUCAUGAUAAUAAUUUAAAAAAAAAAUAAUCUUUUUUGAACUUUAAUAUUAACAAAAAUAAACUUUGAUCCUAUAAACCAAAUUGGCUAGUUAGAUGUUAUAAAUCAUUCUACGUUUCUUAGUUUAUAACCUUUUGAUUGGUUUUAAAAAGAAAGAUGUAAACCAAAUUGGCUAGUUUUCUCCUCGAACUUUCUUUUUUAUUUAAUUUUUUUAAUAUCAAUCAACAAUGAUUCCUACUCAAUGGUAGAAGUUAUCAAUCACACUCACACCUUAUCUUCUCACUAUUUAAAUGAUUAAAAUAAGUAUUUUUUUGUGAUUAUGAGAAGACGAAUUAAGAUAGGGGUUCCUUUUUGCCCCUUGGUGUGAACAAGUCCAAGGACAAAGUUGAAAAAAAUGAAAAAGAAAACCGCUAAUCGGCGAAAGGUGAUCAUUCAAGGUGGGCGAAGGUUGGGCUGUAAACCAAUCAAACGGUCAGCAAACACUUUGUGAACUGUUUGACGAGAAAUUCGCUUACGUUCGUUCGUUUUAUAAAUGAACGAACAUAAACAAAAAAUGUUAUUCGAUUAGUUAGAUCAACAAACAUGAACAUAGGUCUCCUUCGUUCAAUUGGGGGGGGGGGGUAGUGCACGGUCCUCCCAACCGCCGGAGUGAUCUCACUCCGGGAGCCGCUACCCGACCAAGCUAGCUCCGCGGUGACAUCCCCAUGCCGAGUUCUUACCCUGGGCGACAUAUGCCACUCCCAAGACUCGAACCCGGUACCUCUGGGUGUUCGGUAACAUGUUCGUGAACAUUCAUUUAUCUUCGUUUGUUUAUGUUGAUCAUGAAAUUUUUGUACUUUUAUUUAUUUUAUCCAAACUUUGAAUAUUCUUUAACUUUAAUUUAUUUUAUUAUCCUAAAAUUAAAAUAAGAAGCCUUAUUUCCGAAAACCGUUCUAUGGCGUGAUGAUAACACAUGGUCUUAUUAGGCCUUGAGAUGUACUAGUUUAACUUCAUUGGUGUUAAAGAUGACAUGACAAGUUAAUAGGUUUUUCAAACCACUCCCUUCUAAUGUUAAGAGGUGUUAAAACCUCCCUUGGUUAACAUGUUA
RNAcentral lists this long non-coding RNA (2523 nucleotides) under Helianthus annuus (common sunflower). RNAcentral's name for it is "hypothetical non coding rna". Lineage: Eukaryota; Viridiplantae; Streptophyta; Magnoliopsida; Asterales; Asteraceae. The record is from RNAcentral.